GACGAACGCUGGCGGCGUGCUUAACACAUGCAAGUCGAACGGAAAGGCCCUGCUUGCAGGGUACUCGAGUGGCGAACGGGUGAGUAACACGUGGGUGAUCUGCCCUGCACUUCGGGAUAAGCUUGGGAAACUGGGUCUAAUACCGGAUAGGACCGCACUUUAGUGUGUGUGGUGGAAAGUUUUUUCGGUGUAGGAUGAGCUCGCGGCCUAUCAGCUUGUUGGUGGGGUAAUGGCCUACCAAGGCGGCGACGUGUAGCCGGCCUGAGAGGGUGUACGGCCACAUUGGGACUGAGAUACGGCCCAGACUCCUACGGGAGGCAGCAGUGGGGAAUAUUGCACAAUGGGCGCAAGCCUGAUGCAGCGACGCCGCGUGGGGGAUGAAGGCCUUCGGGUUGUAAACUCCUUUCGCUAGGGACGAAGCUUUUUGUGGCGGUACCUAGAUAAGAAGCACCGGCUAACUACGUG
Molecule: ribosomal RNA, 465 nt
Filed under: uncultured bacterium
Lineage: Bacteria
Description: partial 16S ribosomal RNA
Rfam family: Bacterial small subunit ribosomal RNA
Source: RNAcentral